RNAcentral lists this ribosomal RNA (527 nucleotides) under uncultured bacterium. Its description in RNAcentral is "bacterial SSU rRNA". It matches the Rfam family "Bacterial small subunit ribosomal RNA", at positions 777 to 1302 of the family's 1533-position model. The record is from RNAcentral.
AAUAGAUACCCAGGUAGUCCACGCCGUAAACGAUGAGUGCUAAGUGUUAGGGGGUUUCCACCCCUUAGUGCUGCAGCUAACGCAUUAAGCACUCCGCCUGGGGAGUACGGUCGCAAGACUGAAACUCAAAGGAAUUGACGGGGGCCCGCACAAGCGGUGGAGCAUGUGGUUUAAUUCGAAGCAACGCGAAGAACCUUACCAGGUCUUGACAUCCCGAUGACCGCUCUAGAGAUAGAGCUUUCCCUUCGGGGACAGCGGUGACAGGUGGUGCAUGGUUGUCGUCAGCUCGUGUCGUGAGAUGUUGGGUUAAGUCCCGCAACGAGCGCAACCCUUGUUCUUAGUUGCCAUCAUUCAGUCGGGCACUCUAAGGAGACUGCCGCAGACAAUGCGGAGGAAGGUGGGGAUGACGUCAAAUCAUCAUGCCCCUUAUGACCUGGGCUACACACGUGCUACAAUGGACGGUACAAACGGUUGCGAAGUCGCGAGACGGAGCCAAUCCGAGAAAACCGUUCUCAGUUCGGAUUGCG